RNAcentral lists this long non-coding RNA (521 nucleotides) under Sorghum bicolor (sorghum). Its description in RNAcentral is "long non-coding RNA (SBIC_LNC006386)". The record is from RNAcentral. Lineage: Eukaryota; Viridiplantae; Streptophyta; Magnoliopsida; Poales; Poaceae.
GUGCAAGAGAUAUAUGAGGCAUGCAGGAUCAACCACACGUGCAGGAGCACGAGCUGCAGGUGAUGAUGAUGACAGUGACUAUGAGGGAAGUUUUAGUGGGAUGGAGACGUCCCAUUCAGGACGCAGGUCUGGUGCCCACAGUGGCCGCAUGUCUUGUUCUUCUUUGCAGGAUUCACAGCCCCAUACUCAACGCAUUGACAUGGACAUGCUGACCCAACAAAUUGGUGUGCUGUGCAUUGGACAUGAGGCCAUGCAGAACACUGCAACUCAAACCCAGCAAGCCCUCCUAGAUCUCCAAGUCCAACAAAACAUAGGCUAGAACAGGAUGUAUGCACACCAUCAGAGGCCACUACCACCAAAUAUUCCAUUCAUUCCUAUGCCUCCACAGCGGCAGCAAGACCCAUCUCCAUAGUAUCCUCCACCAUAUCCUCAGCAGCCCUCAUAUCCUCCACCAUAUCCUCAGCAGCCCUCAUAUCUUCCACCAUAUCCAUAUAACUAUCCAACAUAUCAGUGAGGAGGCA